RNAcentral lists this ribosomal RNA (465 nucleotides) under uncultured Alphaproteobacteria bacterium. Its description in RNAcentral is "bacterial SSU rRNA". It matches the Rfam family "Bacterial small subunit ribosomal RNA", at positions 9 to 524 of the family's 1533-position model. The record is from RNAcentral. Lineage: Bacteria; Pseudomonadati; Pseudomonadota; Alphaproteobacteria.
GAGUUUGAUCUGGCUCAGAACGAACGCUGGCGGCAGGCUUAACACAUGCAAGUCGAACGCCCCGCAAGGGGAGUGGCAGACGGGUGAGUAACACGUGGGAACGUGCCCUAAGGUUUGGAAUAUUCCCGGGAAACUGGGAGCAAUACCAAAUGUGACCGCAAGGUGAAAGAUUUAUCGCCUUAGGAUCGGCCCGCGUCAGAUUAGGUAGUUGGUGGGGUAAUGGCCUACCAAGCCGACGAUCUGUAGCUGGUCUGAGAGGACGACCAGCCACACUGGGACUGAGACACGGCCCAGACUCCUACGGGAGGCAGCAGUGGGGAAUCUUGGACAAUGGGCGCAAGCCUGAUCCAGCCAUGCCGCGUGGAUGAUGAAGGCCCUAGGGUUGUAAAAUCCUUUCGUUGGGGACGAUAAUGACGGUACCCAAAGAGAAGCUCCGGCUAACUUCGUGCCAGCAGCCGCCGUAAG